GGCGAUCCGGGGUCUGGGCGCGGCGAGGUCUGGUGUGGCAGAUGUGGAUAGCUGGACCCUCCUGGGUGCCUCUGCGUUAUGUCGUUUGGUUGAUGCAUUUGGAGAGAAUCUGUGCUCUCCACAACUGCAGGGGCAACAUGCUUUCCUGGCCUCUUCAGAUCAGGGUGGCUGUUCUUGGGUGCUGCACCAAAACUCCAGCAGUGGGCUUUCUUCAAGUGGCCGGCUCACCUCAUUCCUGCCAAGACCCAGGUCCGUGUUCUCACAGUGCUGCCAUCUUUCCUCCGUGUGAGCGUGGGCUGUGCGGAGAGUGGACCUCGGUGUGUGCGGGGCUGCGUGCACUGCCAUCGCUCCCUCUACACGAGCCGGCGUGGACCCAGGGCUGAGCUGUGACCACGAGGGCCAUCCCGACGAGCCGCCAUGGACCCAGGGCUGAGCUGUGACCAUGAGGGCUAUCCCGACGAGCUGCCGUGGACCCAGGGCUGAGCCGUGACCAUGAGGGCCAUCCCGAAACUGUGAUUGUUUUCUGGUAUGUGGGGGAUGUGCCAGAACCAGGGCUGAGCUGUGACCACGAGGGCCAUCCCGGAGCUGUGAUUGUUUUCUGGUGUGUGGGGAAUGUGCCAGCACUCACGUGGCUAUGGCUGCUUUUGCACCAUGGGUGCGUGUGCCAAACAGGAGAGCAGCUCUGCCCAGCAGAAGCCACU
RNAcentral lists this long non-coding RNA (701 nucleotides) under Homo sapiens (human). Its description in RNAcentral is "non-protein coding SNAI3-AS1:7". The record is from RNAcentral. Lineage: Eukaryota; Metazoa; Chordata; Mammalia; Primates; Hominidae.